GCUUUGGGGAGCUGUACGUAAGCGUUGAUCCAGAGAUUUCCGAAUGGGGGAACCCACUAUCUUUAGUCGGAUAGUAUCCUUACGUGAAUACAUAGCGUGAGGAAGGCAGACCCAGGGAACUGAAACAUCUAAGUACCUGGAGGAAGAGAAAGAAAAAUCGAUUUCCUGAGUAGCGGCGAGCGAAACGGAAAGAGCCCAAACCAAGAAGCUUGCUUCUUGGGGUUGUAGGACACUCUAUACGGAGUUACAAAAGAAAGUUAUAAAUGAAGCGGUCUGGAAAGGCCCGCCAAAGACGGUAACAGCCCGGUAGUUGAAAUGGCUUUCCCUCCAGAGUGGAUCCUGAGUACGGCGGAACACGUGAAAUUCCGUCGGAAUCCGGGAGGACCAUCUCCCAAGGCUAAAUACUCCCUAGUGACCGAUAGUGAACCAGUACCGUGAGGGAAAGG
Molecule: ribosomal RNA, 446 nt
Filed under: Klebsiella pneumoniae
Lineage: Bacteria; Pseudomonadati; Pseudomonadota; Gammaproteobacteria; Enterobacterales; Enterobacteriaceae
Description: partial 23S ribosomal RNA
Rfam family: Bacterial large subunit ribosomal RNA
Source: RNAcentral